RNAcentral lists this ribosomal RNA (465 nucleotides) under Streptomyces sp. M5(2015). RNAcentral's name for it is "bacterial SSU rRNA". It matches the Rfam family "Bacterial small subunit ribosomal RNA", at positions 145 to 624 of the family's 1533-position model. Lineage: Bacteria; Bacillati; Actinomycetota; Actinomycetes; Kitasatosporales; Streptomycetaceae. The record is from RNAcentral.
AAGCCCCUGAAACGGGGUCUAAUACCGGAUAACACUCUGUCCCGCAUGGGACGGGGUUGAAAGCUCCGGCGGUGAAGGAUGAGCCCGCGGCCUAUCAGCUUGUUGGUGGGGUAAUGGCCUACCAAGGCGACGACGGGUAGCCGGCCUGAGAGGGCGACCGGCCACACUGGGACUGAGACACGGCCCAGACUCCUACGGGAGGCAGCAGUGGGGAAUAUUGCACAAUGGGCGAAAGCCUGAUGCAGCGACGCCGCGUGAGGGAUGACGGCCUUCGGGUUGUAAACCUCUUUCAGCAGGGAAGAAGCGAAAGUGACGGUACCUGCAGAAGAAGCGCCGGCUAACUACGUGCCAGCAGCCGCGGUAAUACGUAGGGNGCAAGCGUUGUCCGGAAUUAUUGGGCGUAAAGAGCUCGUAGGCGGCUUGUCACGUCGGAUGUGAAAGCCCGGGGCUUAACCCCGGGGCUGC